Molecule: ribosomal RNA, 299 nt
Filed under: Entamoeba struthionis
Lineage: Eukaryota; Evosea; Mastigamoebida; Endamoebidae
Description: partial small subunit ribosomal RNA
Rfam family: Eukaryotic small subunit ribosomal RNA
Source: RNAcentral
UAUCUGGUUGAUCCUGCCAGUAUUAUAUGUGAUAUUAAAGAUUAAGCCAUGCAUGUGUAAGUAUAAGUUAAAUAAUGCGAAACUGCGGAAGGCUCAUUAUAACAGUUAUAGUUUUGAUGGUUAGUAAAAAAAGGAUAACUCUUGUUAAUUGCAGAGCUAAUACUUGAAUUUACUAUAAUCUAUAUGAUUAUAGCGUAAUAAAGCAAUUUAUUACAUAGGAAUAGCUUUUUGAGAAGAAGGUUAAAUUGAGAAUUGAUGAAACUUAAAUGUUUUUACAAGUAACUGUUUUAAAUAUCGAC